RNAcentral lists this ribosomal RNA (251 nucleotides) under uncultured prokaryote. RNAcentral describes it as "partial 16S rRNA". It matches the Rfam family "Bacterial small subunit ribosomal RNA", at positions 525 to 775 of the family's 1533-position model. The record is from RNAcentral.
ACGGAGGGUGCAAGCGUUAUUCGGAAUUACUGGGCUUAAAGCGCGUGUAGGCGGUCCUGCAAGUCUGGGGUGAAAACCCCGGGCUUAACCCGGGACGUGCAUUGGAAACUGCAGGUCUUGAGUACUGGAGAGGAUGGGGGAAUUCCCGGUGUAGAGGUGAAAUUCGUAGAGAUCGGGAGGAAUAUCAGUGGCGAAGGCGCCCAUCUGGACGGUAACUGACGCUGAGACGCGAAAGCGUGGGGAGCAAACAG